CAGGAAAAACCUGGCAUCCUUAAGCACAUGUGGAGAGCAGAUUUUUGAAAACCUACAUCAAUCUAAUUAGAAAAAAGAAGGGAAAAAUAUUAAUAUCCUAGGCAUAUGCAGGAAUUUCAAUUAUCUUUUGCAAUAUGUUAUAAUUUUGCAUGUUACAAAACAUUGUUAUUUUUAAUCAUUAGAUCAUGAUUCAUCUUGAGAAACUUUAAUUUCUGUGGACUUUUUCAAAGUUUUCCUUUAUUAGAAUGCAUUAACAGAAAUAGCUACCUAGCAUGCAUGAGUGAGAGAGAGAACCAUGUUUGUGAAAACACUUAGAUAUUUACUGGCCCAUGGUUUUAGGAGCUAAUAAAUUUUUUAAGUAUAUGGAAAGAGGUAAGGGAAUUCAUGCAUCUCCUUAUUUAUAAGUCACUGUGGUCUGUGAUAACAUUGUACAGUAUUAAGAGAGAGCAGGACAAGCAUUGUUAUGAUCAUCCAACCAGGAAGUAAAUUAUGGUGAGGUCUCCACAGUCCGAUUGAGAUGGAAACUAGAAGCAAUUAUCAGGUAAUUCAAUGAAUAUUAAAAUAAUUGGCCAGCUUUUCACUUCCUCUGUAUCUAAGGCAGGUGAGUCAAUCUAAAUUAGAGAGAAACAAGAAGGAUCUAUGACCCUGAUGGAGAUUAUAUUCUACCUCCUUCUUGUUUUCCAGGACAAUUUUUCUUAUUUUUUUGUUUUCCCCUGAAAUCCCUCCAGAAUAACAAAAACACACAUGCAAAAAAAUUGUAAAGCAUGGAUGUAAUCAUUUGCCUCUAUUAUGAAACAAGAGUUUCACUGCUUGGUUUUCUAUACCACCCCUCUAACUUGCCACAUACACACAGAGCACAUAUUCAGCUCACUGCUUAUCACUUACCUCUGAAUUGCAAAAUAUGUUUGAUCUAAGUCAGGUUCCUAAACUCAUGGCUCCUAAACUUGGCCUUUCAUUAGAAUCGCUUGGGGGAACUUUUUUUUUUUUUUUUUUUUGGCUUUUGUCUUUUUGUUGUUGUUAUUUCUUGGGCCGCUCCCGAUGCAUAUGGAGAUUCCCAGGCUAGGGGUUGAAUCGGAGCUGUAGCCACUGGCCUAUGCCAGAGCCACAGCAACGCGGGAUCAGAGCCGCGUCUGCAACCUACACCACAGCUCACGGCAACGCCGGAUCGUUAACCCACUGAGCAAGGGCAGGGACCGAACCUGCAACCUCAUAGUUCCUAGUCGGAUUCAUUAACCACUGCGCCACGACGGGAACUCCCGCUUGGGGGAAGUUUUUAAAAGUUUGCAUUCCCAAACACCAGCACUGACAGUUGUAAUGCCAUAGGUACGGGAAACAUUUUCUUAGAGACCCAAAGUUAAAUACCAGGAAAAUUGAGUCGCUCUUGUUCUUUGGCUUUAUACACACCAGGAGGGGAAAAUGUCUUGCAAAAUAUAUGUUACCACUUCUCCCUCUAGAACUCAUGGUAGACAUCAUUAAUUGGUCAUGAUAAUCUUUCCAAUAAUUUCAGUCUCAAAAUCCUCAUUGCCACACUAUUGGUGGCUACCAAAAACCGAUAUUUGAAGGGGGAAAAAAAAAACCCAAAACCCUGUUUGUCCUAAAAGAAAAAAAAGACACUCGAGUUAACUGCUAUAAGGAAGGAGCAACAUGCAUUUUACCAUAGUUAAUCCACUUAUGGCUUGUAAAUUCAUUAAUUUCUUAAUGUCAUUCUGAUUUAAAUAUAAAUAACUUUAAAUAUAAAGAACUAUGUACUUUCUUUUCCUCAAGAGAGGCUUACUUUACGUCAUCCAGAAAAUAUUUCAUAGAAGUCAAUAGACAACUCUAUCAUUAACAUGUAAUUGGAGUUCCUGCCAUGGCGCAGUGGUUAACGAAUCUGACUAGCAAUCAUGAGGUUGUGGGUUCAAUCCCUAGCCUUACUCAGUGGGUUAAGGAUCUGGCAUUGCCAUGACCAGUGGUGUAGGUUGCAGACACGGCUCAGAUCCUGCAUUGCUGUGGCUCUGGCAUAGGCUGGUGGCUACAGCUCCCAUUAGACCCCUAGCCUGGGAACCUCCAUUUGACAUGGGAAGCAGCCCUAGAAAAAGACAAAAAAAAAAAGAAAAAAGAAACAUGUAAUCUUAAAUCAUCAUUAGAAGAAGCAAGGGAAGUUACCGAAAUUUAUAAACCUCCCUUGCCACUUUCCUUCAUUCUGAACACAUUAAUCUUAAACCACUGAUGUUAAGAUUCUGAUUUACAAAGCUUGCAUGAACAAAGUUCAUUAUGACUUAUCCACAAAGAAAAGUUAGGAAUGUGGCACAAAGACAAAUUUGAUGAGGAACAUACAGGGCUCAUAAGGGUAGCGCAGGACAAAUUCAUUUUUAAAACUUGUGCAAUAUAAUAUUAAUAAUCAGAAGAAGGUCUGAUAUUAAAAGUUCUUGGAAAUUGAAUUCAGACAAAGUUUCAGCUUCUAUACUUCUAACUUGACAUCUCCACAUCAACUUUCCUUUGAUAUUUUCCUUCGCAAAUAAUAAUUAGAAUACUUUUGUGAUACAGAAAGCCUCUGGACCAUGGAUUCAGGAAAAGCCAUUAAAGCAUAGGUGGGGAUAAGAAAAUAAAUCAGAUGUAUUUUCAGCUUAUUGUGGUACAGCAUGGGCCAGAGUAUUUACUUAUGGCUUAAUUGAAUAAGAUUUCUCCUAAAAAAAGAUGGAGGUUUUGGGCCCCAACCCCCAUACUUUUCAGUAUGGGAGUAGUUAUUAGGCAGGAAAUGGGAACAAUGAAAGCAGAUUUGAGAUGAUAUUAAAAUAUGUGAGCUUAUUAAGAUAGCACGAUACUCUAUUUUUCUUUGGCCUAGCCCUGGAUAGAGCUUGGUUUCUAAAGCUUAGGGAAUGCCACAUGGCAAAUAAAAUAGCAGAAGCUUAUUCAAACCAGAUAGGUUUUAUCUUAAUUUACAUUAUUCUAGUGCCAAAGAGACCCUGAUAUAUUCGGGGUGGGGAUGUGGCUGGCAUAGUUAAUUCUGACAAACAAUAGCAAAGGCUGGGGUAAUUGCCUUUGCUUUAAUUUUACUUGGCCUUUAUAAAUAUUGACUAACUUACAGGCUAGAUAAAAUGGUGGCUAUGAAUAACUUGUAUUUAUUUUUCUUAUGUAUAAAUGCAUACUUUGAAAAUAAAGGGAUCACAUUUACUGAUGAUUUCCUUACACAGUAUGUGUUUUUGUCAUUUACUGCUUUCUGAUAAACUCAAACCCAGCCUUCAGGCAGCACUUAUAUAACAUGCUUAGUAUCUAUUUGAAAAUAGAAAAGUUCAGUCAAGUUGCCAUUUUUUUUCCUGUCAUCCAGUUUUAACUGAUAAUUUUAAUAAAUAGAAUCUUAUCUUUUUGUUGUUGAAGGAGGGGUCCCAAAAAAAAAUGGAACCUCCUAUCACCCUCGAUGCUCCCUAUGGAAAUGACAUUCAUAAGCUAAAUAUUUGCAGAGAAGGUUAUUCCCUUAAAACUUAAAUUCAAAUGUUAUAUAAGCCAGAAAGAAAAUAGUAACGUAGAGUAUCUUCUUCCAAAUGAGAUAAGCUCUUUAUCUGAAGCAUGGGCUCUGCUCUUUGAACACAAGGUUGAAAUAAGCCUCUGACCUGAUGGAUGAUAAAAUCUCUUCCCUGGAUUUUUAACAUCAAGUUAGCUUUAAAAGAGCCUUUUAUAUUUAAUAUGUUACUGAAACUUAUCCAUGUAGAAAUGUGUUUGAUAUUGGUGUGGUGCCAGCUUACUUCCAGAAGUGAUGCAUUAAAGUUAAAAUUGAAUAUAGUAAAGGAUGUAAUAAUAUGAUAAUUGAAAGUUUGGGGGGUCCAAGGUCAAGUUAUGGCAUUUAUUCAAGGAAGAAAUUGAGGGCUACAAACCUCACAUUCAACAUCCGCAAAAUGAGACUAAUAAUACCUACUUCUAGGAAUGGAAUUCAAAAUAUUUAGCAAUAGGUUGAACCCAAGCCUAGAAAAUUCUGAACAAACAUCCAUUUGGUCAAAAUAAGUGCCAGUCAACAUAGGUACCGCUAAGGACCAAAUAGAAAUCAGCCAUUUUUAUUUUAUCAGAUUGUGGGCACAUAAAAAGAGGCCUUAAGUCUUAACUAUUCAUGGUAGCCACCCAUCAAGAUGACCCCAUUGAUUCCUACUUUGUACCUGGGAUGGUCUGUGUGGCCAAUAGAAAGAAUACAGCUAAAGGUAAGGUACAUAAAUUAUUUCAGAGAUCCUAAUGUAAAAGUCACUGCAGUUUCCAUCACGGUUGCUAUUGUUCUUCUCUUGAGUCACUCACACUGGAGGAAGCCAUGUCAUGACCAGUCCUAGGGAGAGGCACCUGUGGUGAGAACUGAAGCCCUGAUGGUAGCCAUGGGAGGGAGCUUAGAUUCUCCAGCCUGAGUAAAAUUCCAGAUGACUGAUUCCCUGACUGGUGGCUUGAUUAGAACCUCACAAGAGAUUCUAUACCAGAAUCACCCAACUAAACAGCUCCUGGAUUCCUGACCCUUAGAAUCUGCAUGACAUGAUAAAUGUUUGUUAUUUCAGGAUGUUAAGUUUUGAGAUGAUUUUUAUGCAUCAAGAGCCCACUAAUCACUAUAUAAUUGGCAUUGUUAUAUGAUAGAGAGAUGAGCAGGAAAACAAGGUGGGUAGUACUUAAUGCUGAAAUCUGAAUAAAGGAGAGAUCUUAGACAGGAAGCUUUUUUUUUCCCCUUUUUUGCAGAGUUGUUGUUGGAGUUCCUGUCAUGGCACAGCAGGUUAAGGACCCAACAUUGUCUCUCUGAGGAUGUAGGUUUGAUCCCUAGCCUUGCUCAGUGGGUUAAGGAUCUAGCAUUGCUGCAAACUGUGGCAUAGUUUGCAAGUGUGGUUCAGAUCUGGUGUUGCUGUGGCUGUGGCAUAGAUCGACAGCUGUAGCUCCCAUUCAACCUCUGGCCCAGAAACUUUCAUAUGCCACAAGUAUG
Molecule: long non-coding RNA, 4921 nt
Filed under: Sus scrofa (pig)
Lineage: Eukaryota; Metazoa; Chordata; Mammalia; Artiodactyla; Suidae
Description: lncRNA (ENSSSCG00000055969.1)
Source: RNAcentral